AUUAUAAAGUCGUAGACUAUCAAUAAUUCCGCUGUAGCACACAUGCUAAAUGUCCGAUCAUCAUCAAUUUGAUCUUACAAUAUUCCGGGUUUAAACCAUGGCAGUGGAAAUAUAUGUUUUAG
RNAcentral lists this small RNA (122 nucleotides) under Arabidopsis thaliana (thale cress). Its description in RNAcentral is "ATSL196570". Lineage: Eukaryota; Viridiplantae; Streptophyta; Magnoliopsida; Brassicales; Brassicaceae. The record is from RNAcentral.